Patiria miniata (bat star) is the source of this 302-nucleotide long non-coding RNA. RefSeq lists it as uncharacterized. Lineage: Eukaryota; Metazoa; Echinodermata; Asteroidea; Valvatida; Asterinidae. The record is from RefSeq and is a predicted model, not a curated record. The transcript has 3 exons.
ACAAAACUGCCAAUAGAUGACGGGUAUGUGACAUUUGAACCCAGCUACUAUACAAAGACGUGUACUCGGCGCUGUUGUGGAGCAUUCGUUCAGUAGACAUCAAGUUGAAAGCAUCCAGUGCAUUUCCGCCUCCUGACUUUGCUUUGGUUUUCAAGUCUGUUUCAACCUGAAAUAUUAGCCAGAAUGAAGGUUUACAUGUGCCUGCUUCUCCUGAUGGUCGUUGGAUGUGUCUUCGGUUUGGCAGAGACGGACGACUUUCUUGCUGAUGAGGAGUUGGUGCAAGAGCUGGAAUCUCGCGAGAU